UGAACGCUAGCUACAGGCUUAACACAUGCAAGUCGAGGGGCAGCGAGAGGAAAGCUUGCUUCCUGUCGGCGACCGGCGCACGGGUGAGUAACGCGUAUCCAACCUUCCCCUUAGUAGGGCAUAGCCCGGCGAAAGUCGGAUUAAUACCCUAUGUUUUCCGAUGAGGACAUCUGAGCUGGAAUAAAGAUUUAUCGCUAAGGGAUGGGGAUGCGUCUGAUUAGGUAGUCGGUGGGGUAACGGCCCACCGAGCCAACGAUCAGUAGGGGUUCUGAGAGGAAGGUCCCCCACAUUGGUACUGAGACACGGACCAAACUCCUACGGGAGGCAGCAGUGAGGAAUAUUGGUCGAUGGGCGAGAGCCUGAACCAGCCAAGUAAGCGUGCAGGAUGACGGCCCUAUGGGUUGUAAACUGCUUUUAUCGGGGGAUAAAGUGAGGGACGCGUCCCUUUUUGUAGGUACCCGAUGAAUAAGGACCGGCUAAUUCCGUGCCAGCAGCCGC
RNAcentral lists this ribosomal RNA (498 nucleotides) under uncultured bacterium. Its description in RNAcentral is "bacterial SSU rRNA". It matches the Rfam family "Bacterial small subunit ribosomal RNA", at positions 30 to 518 of the family's 1533-position model. The record is from RNAcentral.